Molecule: ribosomal RNA, 440 nt
Filed under: uncultured bacterium
Lineage: Bacteria
Description: partial 16S ribosomal RNA
Rfam family: Bacterial small subunit ribosomal RNA
Source: RNAcentral
CCUACGGGAGGCAGCAGUGGGGAAUAUUGCUCAAUGGGGGAAACCCUGAAGCAGCAACGCCGCGUGGAGGAUGAAGGUUUUCGGAUUGUAAACUCCUUUUGUUAGAGAAGCUAAUGACGGUAUCUGACCAAUAAGCACCGGCUAACUCCGUGCCAGCAGCCGCGGUAAUACGGAGGGUGCAAGCGUUACUCGGAAUCACUGGGCGUAAAGAGCGCGUAGGCGGGAUAGCAAGUCAGGUGUGAAAUCCCAUGGCCUAACCACAGAACUGCAUUUGAAACUGUUUGGCUAGAGUACGGGAGGGGUAGGCGGAAUGCUUGGUGUAGGGGUGAAAUGCGUAGAGAUCAAGAGGAACACUGAUUGCGAAGGCGGCCUGCUAGAACGUAACUGACGCUGAUGCGCGAAAGCGUGGGGAGCAAACAGGAUUAGAUACCCUUGUAGUC